Molecule: non-coding RNA, 484 nt
Organism: Oncorhynchus tshawytscha (Chinook salmon)
Lineage: Eukaryota; Metazoa; Chordata; Actinopteri; Salmoniformes; Salmonidae
Source: the annotation of a RefSeq genome assembly
UAGUCUGAUAUAACUGCCCUCCACAGACCAUCUCCCUCAGCCAAGACAAACACUCUGAGUCUGUGCUCCUACUUUUACAUAACCUUAGAAGACUCCAACAAUGAGAGUUCUAAAAUGUGUGUUCCUUCUUGCUCUCAUCUCAGUUGUUCAGGGACAGUCACUCACCUCCUCUGAGUCAGUGGUGAAGAGCCCUGGAGAGUCAGUAACACUGUCCUGUACUGUGUCUGGUUUCUCCAUGGGUAGCUACUACAUGCACUGGAUCCGUCAGAAACCAGGGAAAGGAGUAGAUUGGAUUGGCCACAUUGACACUAGCACUGGCACUGUAUUUGCUCAGUCCCUCCAGGGCCAGUUCACCAUCACCAAAGACAACUCCAAAAACCAGUUGUACUUAGAGGUGAAAAGCCUGAAGACUGAAGACUCUGCUGUUUAUUAUUGUGCCAGAGACACAGUGACACAGGAGGCUGAAGCACCGUACAAAAACUGA